Molecule: ribosomal RNA, 1037 nt
Filed under: human gut metagenome
Description: bacterial LSU rRNA
Rfam family: Bacterial large subunit ribosomal RNA
Source: RNAcentral
GCUUCGGCCGAAGCGGUGAAUUCAAGCCCCGGUAAACGGCGGUGGUAACUAUAACCAUCCUAAGGUAGCGAAAUUCCUUGUCGGGUAAGUUCCGACCUGCACGAAUGGCGUAACGACUUCCCCACUGUCUCGACCAGGAGCUCGGCGAAAUUGCAGUACGAGUAAAGAUGCUCGUUAAGCGCAGAAGGACGAAAAGACCCCGGGACCUUUACUAUACCUUGGUAUUGGCAUUCGGUGUGGAUUGUGUAGCAUAGGCGGAAGGCUUCGAAGCCACGGCGCCAGCCGCGGUGGAGCCGCAAGGUGAAAUACCGCUCUGUUCGCAUUGGAUGUCUAACCUCGACCAGUCAUCCUGGUCAGGGACAGUGCCUGGCGGGUAGUUUAACUGGGGCGGUUGCCUCCCAAAGAGUAACGGAGGCGCUCAAAGGUUCCCUCAGCCCGGUUGGCAAUCGGGUGGCGAGUGUAAGUGCACAAGGGAGCUUGACUGCGAGACUGACGGGUCGAGCAGGGACGAAAGUCGGAACUAGUGAUCCGGUGCCGGUGUACGGACGCGGCAUCGCUCAACGGAUAAAAGGUACCCCGGGGAUAACAGGCUGAUCAUUCCCAAGAGUCCAUAUCGACGGGAUGGUUUGGCACCUCGAUGUCGGCUCGUCGCAUCCUGGGGCUGGAGCAGGUCCCAAGGGUUCGGCUGUUCGCCGAUUAAAGCGGCACGCGAGCUGGGUUCAGAACGUCGUGAGACAGUUUGGUCUCUAUCCUCUGCGCUCGUCGGAAUGUUGAGGAGGCCUGCCCAUAGUACGAGAGGACCUGGGUGGACGAACCUCUGGUAUGCCGGUUGUCACGCCAGUGGCACGGCCGGUUGGCUACGUUCGGAAGGGAUAACCGCUGAAAGCAUCUAAGCGGGAAGCCUGCUCCAAGAUAAGCAUUCCAUAGGACUACGGGUCCUUGAAGUCCCCAUGCAGAACACGUGGUUGAUAGGCCGGACGUGGAAGCCCCGCGAGGGGUGGAGCCGACCGGUACUAACGGACGAAAGGCAACACAAC